Molecule: transfer RNA, 89 nt
Filed under: bacterium
Lineage: Bacteria
Also listed under: 1 other name
Description: tRNA-Ser
Rfam family: tRNA
About the family: Transfer RNA (tRNA) molecules are approximately 80 nucleotides in length. Their secondary structure includes four short double-helical elements and three loops (D, anti-codon, and T loops).
Source: RNAcentral
GGAGAGGUGUCCGAGCGGCCGAAGGAGCACGACUGGAAAUCGUGUACCCCGGGAAACCGGGGUCGCGGGUUCAAAUCCCGCCCUCUCCG